GACGAACGCUGGCGGCGUGCUUAACACAUGCAAGUCGAACGGAAAGGCCCUGCUUUUGUGGGGUGCUCGAGUGGCGAACGGGUGAGUAACACGUGAGUAACCUGCCCUUGACUUUGGGAUAACUUCAGGAAACUGGGGCUAAUACCGGAUAGGAGCUCCUGCUGCAUGGUGGGGGUUGGAAAGUUUCGGCGGUUGGGGAUGGACUCGCGGCUUAUCAGCUUGUUGGUGGGGUAGUGGCUUACCAAGGCUUUGACGGGUAGCCGGCCUGAGAGGGUGACCGGCCACAUUGGGACUGAGAGACGGACCAGACUCCUACGGGAGGCAGCAGUGGGGAAUAUUGCACAAUGGGCGGGAGCCUGAUGCAGCAACGCCGCGUGCGGGAUGACGGCCUUCGGGUUGUAAACCGCUUUCGCCUGUGACGAAGCGUGAGUGACGGUAAUGGGUAAAGAAGCACCGGCUAACUACGUG
Molecule: ribosomal RNA, 468 nt
Filed under: uncultured bacterium
Lineage: Bacteria
Description: partial 16S ribosomal RNA
Rfam family: Bacterial small subunit ribosomal RNA
Source: RNAcentral